This is a long non-coding RNA of Prosopis cineraria, 1555 nucleotides long. RefSeq lists it as uncharacterized. The transcript has 3 exons. NCBI's taxonomy places the organism in Eukaryota, Viridiplantae, Streptophyta, Magnoliopsida, Fabales, Fabaceae. The record is from RefSeq and is a predicted model, not a curated record.
AGAACUUGAUCUUAGUGGGAACAACUUUGGCUACCUUCCUGCUGGAAGUUUGGUUUUUCCUCCUUCAUUAUUCUCAAGUUUAUCAUCAUUGAAAGAACUGAAUUUGCAAGACUGUAAUCUCAGUGAUGGUUCAAUCCCUGAUGAUCUUAGUUCAUUAUCAUCCUUGUUUCGCUUAAAUCUAUCCAGAAAUAAUUUUACUAAGCUACCUCAUGGCCUUGUCUCUAAUCUGUUGCGUCUUCACUCUCUAGAUUUGAAUCACUGCAAGAGACACUUGUCAUUUCCAGAUGUUCCGCCGAAUGUGUCAUUUAUAAAUGCAAUUUGUUGUCAUCCCUCAAUGGAACACUUUUCAGAGGUAUUGUGGAAGUUCCUUUCAUCAUCUUAUUUGAGAUAUAUCCCAAGAGAAUUGCUUGUUCCAGGGAAUGAAAUUCCAUCAUGGUUCCAUAAUCAAAACUUUGAUUUUCUUCAUGAAUUUAAGUAUUAUGGCUGGGGAAUUACACAAAUUUGUAUGCUAGAGGACGAGGGUGGUAAAACGAAUAAUCUUGUUGAUUGCAUUAUAUCAAUAAAAAUAGAUAACUCUCGUUUUCGUUGUUCGAACAAAAAGUGGGGAGUUUCCUUGUGUCUUGUAGUACAAGACACAAUGCCAUCAAACUGUAGAAACCCAUACAACUCUGUUUAUAUUUCAAUUUUUGCAACUCCUGAAUCAAAUGAUUCAUGGUUUGAAACAAGGUGGAAGCUGGAUCUAGAGGGCAAUUAACCUCAUCUUUUCAUCUUUUUCCUUACUCCUAGUGGUUUGCAAUAUGGUCGUGGGGAACUAUAUACAGACCAACUUAGGUUGACAUUGAUGACACGUAGAAGGACCACUUCGAGUGUUAAUGGGCAUGAAGCGAAAAAAGACGAUAGUAAAAGUGGAAGACCAGGUUCAUUUUCAAUAAAGAAGUGUGGGUGGCGUUUGGCAAGCCAGGAAGAAUUAGGAGAAUAUGUUGAAGAGUGGCAGAGAAAAAUGAGUGAAUGCAGUUCCACAAGUCAUCUAGAACUUGAAGACGACAAUGCUGUUUGAUCAACCUUUGUAUGUGAAAAGUAGAGUUGGUUGUUGCUGUUUUCAAAAUCAAUCAGUUUAAGUGGGAAGCACAGAGUACUCAUAUAAUCCAAAGCUGAUUAAGAAGCUCACCGACAUCAAAAGGAUAGUUUGCCACAGCCUUUGAUGAUGAAACAGAACAACAGACUCAAGUAGUUCUUCCAAAAGGGCAUGGACUCUGAAAAUAAUAUUCAAAGUUGAUUGGGAGCUCGCUGACACCACAUGGAAAUUUUGCCACAGCCUUUGAUGCUGAAACAUCACAACACAUUCCCUUAUUUACUCAAAAUUGGUAACUCAACAUCUUCCUUUUAUGAACGUGUGCUAAACCUUAAAAUUUCGUUGGUCUUCAAAAUGUUAAUAUCAAUGCCAUUAUAGCGUUAAAAUAUCUUCAGAACUGAUGAACCAAUAAGAUCAAGCAAUAUUUUGACAACUCUCAGGGCCUUAAGAUGGACACAAAUAGUGAAACUAGCCUGUGAUAUA